Molecule: small RNA, 755 nt
Filed under: Pongo abelii (Sumatran orangutan)
Lineage: Eukaryota; Metazoa; Chordata; Mammalia; Primates; Hominidae
Description: retained intron
Source: RNAcentral
UCUCGGGCGGUGGGGUGGGCGCGGAAUUUGGCGACCCACUUCGGGAAAGUCAGGAUGGUGGUGCCUUCGCUGAAGCUUCAGGACCUCAUCGAAGAGAUUCGCGGGGCCAAGACUCAGGCCCAGGAGCGGGAGGUGAUCCAAAAGGAGUGUGCCCACAUCCGGGCCUCCUUCCGCGACGGGGACCCAGUGCACAGGCACCGGCAGCUGGCCAAACUGCUCUACGUCCACAUGUUGGGCUACCCCGCCCACUUUGGACAGAUGGAGUGCCUGAAACUGAUCGCCUCCUCCAGAUUCACAGACAAGAGGGUGGGCUACCUGGGGGCCAUGCUUCUAUUGGAUGAGAGGCACGAUGCCCACCUGCUCAUUACCAACAGCAUCAAGAAUGACCUGAGCCAGGGGAUUCAGCCAGUACAAGGCCUGGCCUUGUGCACUUUGAGCACCAUGGGCUCUGCUGAGAUGUGCCGAGACCUGGCCCCAGAAGUGGAGAAACUGCUCCUGCAGCCCAGUCCCUACGUGCGCAAGAAGGCUAUUCUGACUGCAGUGCACAUGAUCCGGAAGGUCCCUGAACUCUCCAGUGUCUUCCUCCCACCCUGUGCUCAACUGCUUCAUGAGCGUCACCAUGGUAAGGCUGUGGGGCUCCCCAUCCUUUGCUUCAGCUCUAUGGACAGAAGAAUUGAAAAUCGGAUGGGAACCCCAGCUCACAGGAGAAGGGUAGUGCACACACACAGGCACACACGCAAUAGACUCUCUUGCCC